GACGAACGCUGGCGGCGUGCUUAACACAUGCAAGUCGAACGGAAAGGCCCUGCUUUUGUGGGGUGCUCGAGUGGCGAACGGGUGAGUAACACGUGAGUAACCUGCCCUUGACUUUGGGAUAACUUCAGGAAACUGGGGCUAAUACCGGAUAGGAGCUCCUGCUGCAUGGUGGGGGUUGGAAAGUUUCGGCGGUUGGGGAUGGACUCGCGGCUUAUCAGCUUGUUGGUGGGGUAGUGGCUUACCAAGGCUUUGGAGGGUAGCCGGCCUGGGAGGGUGACCGGCCACAUUGGGCCUGAGGUACGGCCCAGACUCCUACGGGAGGCAGCAGUGGGGAAUAUUGCACAAUGGGCGGAAGCCUGAUGCAGAAACGCCGGGUGCGGGAUGACGGCCUUCGGGUUGUAAACCGCUUUCGCCUGUGACGAAGCGUGAGUGACGGUAAUGGGUAAAGAAGCACCGGCUAACUACGUG
This 468-nucleotide ribosomal RNA is filed under the name uncultured bacterium. RNAcentral's name for it is "partial 16S ribosomal RNA". It matches the Rfam family "Bacterial small subunit ribosomal RNA", at positions 28 to 507 of the family's 1533-position model. The record is from RNAcentral.